AUUGAACGCUGGCGGCAUGCUUUACACAUGCAAGUCGAACGGUAACAGGCCUCAAGGUUCUGACGAGUGUCUAACGGGUUUUUAAUUCAUCGUAACUUGCCCAGUCUUUGGGUAUAACUACUCGAAAUAGUAGCUAAUACCGCAUACGAUCUAUGGAUGAAAGCGGUGGACCGUAAUGCCUCGCUCGAUUUGAUCUGCCGAUGUCAGAUUAGUUAGUUGGUUGGGUAAAUGCUCACCAAGCCAACGACCUGUAGCUGGUCUGAGAGUACGACCAGCCAAAAGGGGAGUGAGAAAGGGCAAAGAAGACUACGGGAGGCAGCAGAGGGGAAUUGUGGACAAUGGGAGAAAGCAUGAUAAAGCAAUGCCGCGUGCAGGAAGAAGGAAUUCGGGUUGUAAACUGCUAUUGUACGGAACGAAACGGAUGUGGAUAAUAACAGGGGCUAAUGAAGGUAACGGAAGAAUAAGCAACGGCUAAGUACGUG
Molecule: ribosomal RNA, 482 nt
Filed under: uncultured bacterium
Lineage: Bacteria
Description: partial 16S ribosomal RNA
Rfam family: Bacterial small subunit ribosomal RNA
Source: RNAcentral